GGUUAAGCGACUAAGCGUACACGGUGGAUGCCCUGGCAGUCAGAGGCGAUGAAGGACGUGCUAAUCUGCGAUAAGCGCCGGUAAGGUGAUAUGAACCGUUAUAACCGGCGAUUUCCGAAUGGGGAAACCCAGUGUGAUUCGUCACACUAUCAUUAACUGAAUCCAUAGGUUAAUGAGGCGAACCGGGGGAACUGAAACAUCUAAGUACCCCGAGGAAAAGAAAUCAACCGAGAUUCCCCCAGUAGCGGCGAGCGAACGGGGAGGAGCCCAGAGCCUGAAUCAGCAUGUGUGUUAGUGGAAGCGUCUGGAAAGGCGCGCGAUACAGGGUGACAGCCCCGUACACAAAAGCGCAUGUGCUGUGAGCUCGAUGAGUAGGGCGGGACACGUGGUAUCCUGUCUGAAUAUGGGGGGACCAUCCUCCAAGGCUAAAUACUCCUGACUGACCGAUAGUGAACCAGUACCGUGAGGGAAAGGCGAAAAGAACCCCGGCGAGGGGAGUGAAAAAGAACCUGAAACCGUGUACGUACAAGCAGUGGGAGCACCCUUUUGGGUGUGACUGCGUACCUUUUGUAUAAUGGGUCAGCGACUUAUAUUCUGUAGCAAGGUUAACCGCAUAGGGGAGCCGGAGGGAAACCGAGUCUUAAUUGGGCGUUAAGUUGCAGGGUAUAGACCCGAAACCCGGUGAUCUAGCCAUGGGCAGGUUGAAGGUUGGGUAACACUAACUGGAGGACCGAACCGACUAAUGUUGAAAAAUUAGCGGAUGACCUGUGGCUGGGGGUGAAAGGCCAAUCAAACCGGGAGAUAGCUGGUUCUCCCCGAAAGCUAUUUAGGUAGCGCCUCGUGAAUUCAUCUCCGGGGGUAGAGCACUGUUUCGGCUAGGGGGCCAUCCCGGCUUACCAACCCGAUGCAAACUGCGAAUACCGGAGAAUGUUAUCACGGGAGACACACGGCGGGUGCUAACGUCCGUCGUGAAGAGGGAAACAACCCAGACCGCCAGCUAAGGUCCCAAAGUCAUGGUUAAGUGGGAAACGAUGUGGGAAGGCCCAGACAGCCAGGAUGUUGGCUUAGAAGCAGCCAUCAUUUAAAGAAAGCGUAAUAGCUCACUGGUCGAGUCGGCCUGCGCGGAAGAUGUAACGGGGCUAAACCAUGCACCGAAGCUGCGGCAGCGACGCUUAUGCGUUGUUGGGUAGGGGAGCGUUCUGUAAGCCUGCGAAGGUGGCCUGUGAGGGUUGCUGGAGGUAUCAGAAGUGCGAAUGCUGACAUAAGUAACGAUAAAGCGGGUGAAAAGCCCGCUCGCCGGAAGACCAAGGGUUCCUGUCCAACGUUAAUCGGGGCAGGGUGAGUCGACCCCUAAGGCGAGGCCGAAAGGCGUAGUCGAUGGGAAACGGGUUAAUAUUCCCGUACUUGGUGUUACUGCGAAGGGGGGACGGAGAAGGCUAUGUUGGCCGGGCGACGGUUGUCCCGGUUUAAGCGUGUAGGUGUGUGUUCCAGGUAAAUCCGGUUCACUUUAACACUGAGGCGUGACGACGAGGCACUACGGUGCUGAAGCAACAAAUGCCCUGCUUCCAGGAAAAGCCUCUAAGCAUCAGGUAACAUCAAAUCGUACCCCAAACCGACACAGGUGGUCAGGUAGAGAAUACCAAGGCGCUUGAGAGAACUCGGGUGAAGGAACUAGGCAAAAUGGUGCCGUAACUUCGGGAGAAGGCACGCUGACACGUAGGUGAAGUGAUUUACUCAUGGAGCUGAAGUCAGUCGAAGAUACCAGCUGGCUGCAACUGUUUAUUAAAAACACAGCACUGUGCAAACACGAAAGUGGACGUAUACGGUGUGACGCCUGCCCGGUGCCGGAAGGUUAAUUGAUGGGGUCAGCGCAAGCGAAGCUCCUGAUCGAAGCCCCGGUAAACGGCGGCCGUAACUAUAACGGUCCUAAGGUAGCGAAAUUCCUUGUCGGGUAAGUUCCGACCUGCACGAAUGGCGUAAUGAUGGCCAGGCUGUCUCCACCCGAGACUCAGUGAAAUUGAACUCGCUGUGAAGAUGCAGUGUACCCGCGGCAAGACGGAAAGACCCCGUGAACCUUUACUAUAGCUUGACACUGAACAUUGAGCCUUGAUGUGUAGGAUAGGUGGGAGGCUUUGAAGUGUGGACGCCAGUCUGCAUGGAGCCGACCUUGAAAUACCACCCUUUAAUGUUUGAUGUUCUAACGUGGACCCGUGAUCCGGGUUGCGGACAGUGUCUGGUGGGUAGUUUGACUGGGGCGGUCUCCUCCUAAAGAGUAACGGAGGAGCACGAAGGUUGGCUAAUCCUGGUCGGACAUCAGGAGGUUAGUGCAAUGGCAUAAGCCAGCUUGACUGCGAGCGUGACGGCGCGAGCAGGUGCGAAAGCAGGUCAUAGUGAUCCGGUGGUUCUGAAUGGAAGGGCCAUCGCUCAACGGAUAAAAGGUACUCCGGGGAUAACAGGCUGAUACCGCCCAAGAGUUCAUAUCGACGGCGGUGUUUGGCACCUCGAUGUCGGCUCAUCACAUCCUGGGGCUGAAGUAGGUCCCAAGGGUAUGGCUGUUCGCCAUUUAAAGUGGUACGCGAGCUGGGUUUAGAACGUCGUGAGACAGUUCGGUCCCUAUCUGCCGUGGGCGCUGGAGAACUGAGGGGGGCUGCUCCUAGUACGAGAGGACCGGAGUGGACGCAUCACUGGUGUUCGGGUUGUCAUGCCAAUGGCACUGCCCGGUAGCUAAAUGCGGAAGAGAUAAGUGCUGAAAGCAUCUAAGCACGAAACUUGCCCCGAGAUGAGUUCUCCCUGAGACUUAAAGUCUCCUGAAGGAACGUUGAAGACGACGACGUUGAUAGGCCGGGUGUGUAAGCGCAGCGAUGCGUUGAGCUAACCGGUACUAAUGAACCGUGAGGCUUAACCUUAC
Molecule: ribosomal RNA, 2908 nt
Filed under: Salmonella enterica subsp. enterica serovar Braenderup str. CFSAN000756
Lineage: Bacteria; Pseudomonadati; Pseudomonadota; Gammaproteobacteria; Enterobacterales; Enterobacteriaceae
Description: bacterial LSU rRNA
Rfam family: Bacterial large subunit ribosomal RNA
Source: RNAcentral